This 609-nucleotide long non-coding RNA is filed under the name Brassica napus (rape). RNAcentral describes it as "long non-coding RNA (BNAP_LNC011680)". The record is from RNAcentral. Lineage: Eukaryota; Viridiplantae; Streptophyta; Magnoliopsida; Brassicales; Brassicaceae.
UCCAAACUAUUAUCAAACAAAAGAAAGACCACAAACGGCCCACCAUAAACACCCAAGAACGAGGCUGAAGAUUAAGGCCCGAAACAGAACCCCCUCCCAAAAAGACACGUACACAACACGUGUUCAACGACGAAGGAUAACGUGUCCGAUGCAGAGGAAACCGUCUCCUGCCUCCACCGACAAGAUCUUACGCCGGCGCCCAAACCCAUCGGCGCCGUAUCAAACACCGUCUUCACCGGUUAACACAUCACCGGACCUAAUCAGUAACCACCAGAAUUCAACCUAAACGAGGAGCCACGCCAAUUCUUUCACCACUUUCACCGUUUCCAGAAACACAUCCCACCGUGUCCCACCGCAGCCAAAUCGGGAAUACAAUUCUCCACCAUCUUUUCCGGCCUCAAACUUCUCCAUCGAUCCAAACAAAGCGAUCGAUCACCGGAUUCCACCGGGAACCAAAGCCGAAUGAUUUCGCUUGGAAGAUCGCGAAAACAUCGGAGUCAAAGCCAGCUACACCGCGUCAUAGAGACCACCGUGCACCAGAGUCAUUGUCGUGAACCAGAAAGGAGAAAGAAAACGGGACCACCGCGACUUUCUCUAUCUCUCAAGAAA